RNAcentral lists this long non-coding RNA (210 nucleotides) under Elaeis guineensis (African oil palm). RNAcentral's name for it is "long non-coding RNA (EGUI_LNC044771)". Lineage: Eukaryota; Viridiplantae; Streptophyta; Magnoliopsida; Arecales; Arecaceae. The record is from RNAcentral.
CUUAUCCAACUUGAACCAAUUUCAAGUGGAGAAGGACUCCUCUACGCCCACCAGAAGUCAUGCAAAAAAAAUAAAUUCCACCCCAUCUCAAAUUAGCAUGUGAAAUGGAGAGUCCUUAGAAAAGGCUCUUAAUUAUACGCAUUGCUUUAAAACAUAAAUUAGAUACCCCAUGAUUUAACACCAAAAUUUAUUGAGUUUUUUAUGGCACAU